This 161-nucleotide ribosomal RNA is filed under the name Memecylon natalense. RNAcentral's name for it is "5.8S ribosomal RNA". It matches the Rfam family "5.8S ribosomal RNA". From Rfam's summary of the family: 5.8S ribosomal RNA (5.8S rRNA) is a component of the large subunit of the eukaryotic ribosome. It is transcribed by RNA polymerase I as part of the 45S precursor that also contains 18S and 28S rRNA. Lineage: Eukaryota; Viridiplantae; Streptophyta; Magnoliopsida; Myrtales; Melastomataceae. RNAcentral also lists the same sequence under 3 other names. The record is from RNAcentral.
AAAAGGACUCUCGGCAACGGAUAUCUCGGUUCUUGCAUCGAUGAAGAACGUAGCGAAAUGCGAUACUUGGUGUGAAUUGCAGAAUCCCGUGAACCAUCGAGUCUUUGAACGCAAGUUGCGCCCAAAGCCAUUCGGUUGAGGGCACGCCUGCCUGGGUGUCG